This 69-nucleotide transfer RNA is filed under the name Anolis punctatus (spotted anole). RNAcentral describes it as "tRNA-His". It matches the Rfam family "tRNA". From Rfam's summary of the family: Transfer RNA (tRNA) molecules are approximately 80 nucleotides in length. Their secondary structure includes four short double-helical elements and three loops (D, anti-codon, and T loops). The record is from RNAcentral. Lineage: Eukaryota; Metazoa; Chordata; Lepidosauria; Squamata; Anolidae.
GUUAUUAUAGUUUAAUCAAAACAUUAGAAUGUGACCCUAAAAAUAGAAGAUAGUGCCUUCUUAAAGACC